Non-coding RNA from Zootermopsis nevadensis, 1843 nucleotides. NCBI's taxonomy places the organism in Eukaryota, Metazoa, Arthropoda, Insecta, Blattodea, Termopsidae. The record is from RefSeq and is a predicted model, not a curated record.
UAAAAGGUGAACAAGCUUUUCAAGUGUACGUAGAGGGAGACAACUUGUUUUGUUUGCCAUGUUUACUUAGUGAAUGAUAUAACUGCAAACAGCAUGGCAGGCAGUCACGUAGGAGAACACAAAGCAGGAAAGCAACAUAGCAGACAGAAGCAAAGAUUGAACUAGAAAAGAUGUCAUGUCAUGGCGAUAUUACUUGACGGCUGAUGAUGACUAAUGUAGCUACGGUUGGGCAGCUUCAUGAGCCAUCUGUUGCUGCUUAUAAUGGAGGAACAGAGACUGGGUGUCUGUGAACUAAGUGUUGAAGACAAUAUCUGAACCCAACAGAAAGGAAGCAACAGGAAAAUAUAAAUUAUUAUAUUAUAAGCAAGCUUCAUUAUUUGUUCAAAGAAUUUAUCACUAAAAUACUUUGUGCAUUUCUUGUUCUUCCAAAGUAAGCUGUGAUAGAAAAAAAUUAUCUUGCAAUUUUUGGUAAUAUUUUUUUACAAGCUGACAUAACCUCAAAUCCUACAAAGCUGAAAUAGGUAUUAUAAAUGCAAGUCAGUAAAACUGUCAUAUUUCUAGUGAUAUGUAACUGCACAUUCUAUUUGGCUUCAUCCAUAUAGUUAAAUGAAGGCCAACACAGUUCACCCUUUAACUGAAACCAGAAUAACAAGAUGGGCAACAAAAUGAAAAGAUCAAAGUUCUACUGAAUGGUAUGUGAAGGUUAACUACAGAAACAACAUCCUAUUCAAAACCAGUACUGCCUCAAGGAAUGGUAUAAUCAUACUGGACACCUGCAAUUUACUUUUAGUUUAAACACUGACAUUAACUGUUUCAUGCAAUUGUCAAACGGGAAAAAUUCUUCCUCCUAAGAUGUUUCCACUUUAUGUGGGUCACCUGACAACCAAGCCUCUCCUUCUUCCUCUGCCUUCAGACAGCCUCUCCUCCACAUCAAUUUCUACCUAUGUUGCUCUUUCUUUCCACAUGACAUUUCUUGUAAGGCCACAGUUUCAAUAAUUGGUAACAGUUCUCGCAGUGCCUUUUGAUAUUCUUGUUUCUUGUGCAAGGCAUUCAAAGAGACUUAUGAUGUGCAUUCAAGAUGAGCUCUGACAUCACCCAACUUUUAUUUUGUUAAUAUUUGAUAAUGAUAUGUUUGGUUUUCUGUCUAUUAACCUACUAGUUAUUCUUGUUUUCCAACGUGCUUCUGAAUAAUGCUUCUAUUAGGAACCUGAACACUGACAAACUUUCUUCUGACUCUUCCUAGCAGAAAUAAACUUCAAAAGAUUCAUAUGAAAACAACUGCUGCUAAAGUGUAAACCUAAUCACAUCCUACACAAAGGAAUUCUUAAACAAGACUGUCUGACUCGAUAGAGUAAACAUCACUCACUGUCCUAGCUGACCAAGUAAAAAAUGUAGCAGCCAUGCAGUGAAUGAGCAGAAAGCCCACGCUCAGGCAUUACAUACAAAUAUUCUCCUUGUAGUUGUAAUCCUUAAACAAUAGAUUACAUUCUCAGACUACAGAACUUGAACUUUUUGCAAUGGUUUGAAUUUGAUUACAGUCUUCUGGGUUAUUGGGUCAUGUAGUUUGUGGCCGUAUAUAAACAUUUUGGUGGAACAUGCUUCUCCAUGUUCUGGAUUGAACUAUACAUAGCAACAACCCAAAAGACUGCAAUCUCAAUUCUUAAAAUUUCUGAUCUUAAGUUUGAUCUUCUAAUGGCUACAAAGUGCUGGUAUCUGUAAAACAACUACUUGAUAUUGUAAAACCAAUUUGUAAUUCACUGUGCUAAUUUCUUACAAAUACCUGUAUAGGCAUCUGAAGUUAAAAAAUGUAUAGGAAAAUAAAUUUUUGCUUUCUAAAUAUUAA